RNAcentral lists this ribosomal RNA (481 nucleotides) under uncultured bacterium. Its description in RNAcentral is "bacterial SSU rRNA". It matches the Rfam family "Bacterial small subunit ribosomal RNA", at positions 903 to 1397 of the family's 1533-position model. The record is from RNAcentral.
AAAUGAAUAGACGGGGAGGCGCACAACCAGUGGAGCAUGUGGUUCAAUUCGAUACAAAGCGAUGAACCUUACCUGGGCUUGAAAUGCACCUGCAGACUCCUGAAAGGGAGGGGCCUUCGAGGGUGGUGCACAGCUGUUGCAUGGCUGUCGUCAGCUCGUGACGUGAGUUGUUCUCUUAAGUGAGGUAACGAGCGCAACCCCCAUUCUGUGUUAUUGUGUCACAGAAGACUGCCUAGCAUUAUUUUGUUAGGAGGAAGGAGGGGACGACGUCAAGUCAUCAUGAUGCUUAUGUCCAGGGCUACACACAUCCUACAAUGGGUUGUACAGAGGGUUGCAAGACCGUAAGGUGGAGCCAAUCCCUAAAACACCCCUCAGUUGGGAUUGUGGGCUGCAAUUCGCCCACAUGAACCCGGAAUUGGUAGUAAUCGCAAAUCAGCAGAUUGCGGUGAAUACGUUCUCGCCUCUUGCACACACCGCCCGU